This 460-nucleotide ribosomal RNA is filed under the name uncultured bacterium. Its description in RNAcentral is "partial 16S ribosomal RNA". It matches the Rfam family "Bacterial small subunit ribosomal RNA", at positions 338 to 795 of the family's 1533-position model. The record is from RNAcentral.
CCUACGGGAGGCAGCAGUGAGGAAUAUUGGUCAAUGGGAGAGAUCCUGAACCAGCCAAGCCGCGUGAGGGAAGACGGCCCUAUGGGUUGUAAACCUCUUUUGUCGGAGAACAAAACCCGGGACGUGUCCCGGACUGCGUGUAUCCGAAGAAAAAGCAUCGGCUAACUCCGUGCCAGCAGCCGCGGUAAUACGUAGGGGGCGAGCGUUAUCCGGAUUCACUGGGUGUAAAGGGAGCGUAGACGGCCAUGCAAGCCAGGGGUGAAAGCCCGGGGCCCAACCCCGGGACUGCCCUUGGAACUGCAUGGCUGGAGUGCGGGAGGGGCAGGCGGAAUUCCUGGGGUAGCGGUGAAAUGCGUAGAUAGCAGGAGGAACACCGGCGGCGAAGGCGGCCUGCUGGACCGCGACUGACGUUGAGGCUCGAAAGCGUGGGGAGCGAACAGGAUUAGAUACCCUUGUAGUC